RNAcentral lists this ribosomal RNA (484 nucleotides) under uncultured bacterium. Its description in RNAcentral is "partial 16S ribosomal RNA". It matches the Rfam family "Bacterial small subunit ribosomal RNA", at positions 30 to 507 of the family's 1533-position model. The record is from RNAcentral.
AUUGAACGCUGGCGGCAGGCCUAACACAUGCAAGUCGAGCGGAUGAAGGGAGCUUGCUCCUGGAUUCAGCGGCGGACGGGUGAGUAAUGCCUAGGAAUCUGCCUGGCAGUGGGGGAUAACGUCCGGAAACGGGCGCUAAUACCGCAUACGUCCUGAGGGAGAAAGUGGGGGAUCGUCGGACCUCACGCUAUCAGAGGAGCCUAGGUCGGAUUAGCUAGUUGGUGGGGUAAAGGCCUACCAAGGCGACGAUCCGUAACUGGUCUGAGAGGAUGAUCAGUCACACUGGAACUGAGACACGGUCCAGACUCCUACGGGAGGCAGCAGUGGGGAAUAUUGGACAGUGGGCGAAAGCCUGAUCCAGCCAUGCCGCGUGUGUGAAGAAGGUCUUCGGAUUGUAAAGCACUUUAAGUUGGGAGGAAGGGCAGUAAGUUAAUACCUUGCUGUUUUGACGGUACCAACAGAAUAAGCACCGGCUAACUUCGUG